AUUCGAGUAUUGAGCAAAAGGUUUUUACCUACGGUUCCCGUAUUACAGAUCAAUCCUACUAGACUAAUACAAUAUACGAAUAGGAGGCACAGGGGAAGAAGCACUACGCCGAGAAAUCAACAACACGAAAACUUUCUUCAAAACGAUUCCUUUUCUUUCUUCUUCUUUGGGAUUGGGACUAAUUAAAAUGGUUGGAACAAUAAACAUCCAUCUCGUCCGUACUUUGGAUACCCGUAUAACCAUUGAAGACUGUUGAAGUGACUAAUUCCUGGAAAUUUAGGGGCGUUGAGAACAAAGAAAUUUUUAGAGUUUCCUUUUUUAUUUUUAUCUAGUAUGAAUCCACUUGGUAGUAAGAAAAGAUCUUUUACAAGAAGGUUGGCUAGGGAUUUCUUGUAAAAACAUUAGCCCCGCUUAGUUCAUAAUGACAUCAAAUUUUUCCAUAUCCAUAUAUUUAUUAUUUUCAUUAUGCACCUAAAGGAGGAGCCGUAUGAGAUGAAAAUCUCACAUACGGUUCUGAAACGGAGAAUUCGUUAAAGCGAAUGACGACCGUAACGGAUGUCGGCUCAAUCUGAAGGAAAUUAUGCGGAAGCAUUACAGAAUUAUUAUGAAGCUAUGCGACUAGAAAUUGACCCCUAUGAUCGAAGUUAUAUACUCUAUAAUAUAGGCCUUAUCCACACAAGUAAUGGGGAACAUACCAAAGCUUUAGAAUAUUAUUUUCGGGCAUUAGAACGAAACCCCUUUUUACCACAAGCUUUUAAUAAUAUGGCUGUGAUCUGUCAUUACGUGCGACUAUCUCCACUAUAGAAAAAAAGAACGAACAGCUAGUCAAUGAAAUACUAGAAACAAAAAAAAAAGGCUUUCUACAUAAGCAUCGUCCAAAACGAUUUUUUAUCAGCUGUAGCAAA
RNA transcript from Raphanus sativus (radish), 905 nucleotides. RefSeq lists it as uncharacterized. NCBI's taxonomy places the organism in Eukaryota, Viridiplantae, Streptophyta, Magnoliopsida, Brassicales, Brassicaceae. The transcript has a single exon. The record is from RefSeq and is a predicted model, not a curated record.